Non-coding RNA from Sebastes umbrosus (honeycomb rockfish), 732 nucleotides. Lineage: Eukaryota; Metazoa; Chordata; Actinopteri; Perciformes; Sebastidae. The record is from the annotation of a RefSeq genome assembly.
UUGAACACUGGAUGACUGACAGCUGUCCUUCAUCACAACAGAAGACACAGAAAUCCUCCUCAUCAAAAACAUGACGUUGAUCUCCGUCCUCAUCUGGACUCUCCUCUGCUGCUGCUUCACAGAGUCCAGAGGACAGGUCACAGUGACUCAGCCUGGAGCAGUGAGCUCUACUCUGGGACGCUCCGUCUCCAUCAGCUGUAGGACCAGUCAGGAUGUUGGUGAUGCGCUUACUGAUGCGCUGUCUUUAUCCCCUUUAGCCUGGUACCAACAGAAAAAUGGUGAAGCUCCUAAACUUCUCAUUUACGGGGCUGAUGAACAAGCAUCAGGGACUCCAGAUCGUUUUACAGGCAGUGGAUCAGGGAGUGACUUCACUCUGACCAUCAGUGGAGUCCAGGCUGAAGAUGCAGCAGUUUACUACUGUCAGAGUUACCAUGAAAUCAACAGUCAGUAUGUGUUCACACAGUGAAAAAGCGUCGUACAAAAACCUCCCUCAGUCAGACUGAACUGAAACUGAACUACAGCUGGAAGCUGCUGCAGAGACUGAUACACUUCACUGAACACACACAUACAGACCAAUAAUUCUUUUAAAGUUCAACAAACACUAACAUAAGCAUUGACUAAUGAGAAAUCCUGUUAUCAUCUUUCUAAAAAUAUAUUUCCAGUUUAGGACACACACAGCAAUUCUUUCUCCAAAGGUGACACCUGCACACUGUUAGCCCUUAUCUGUGGGUG